AUUGUUUGUCACUCGCUACCGUGAGGGUGGGCAAGAAGGAGUGUCCGGGGUCCAGGGAAGAGCUCCAGAGCUAGAUGAUAGACUCUGCACCAUGGAAGGACAGAAUGCCAGGUCGGUGGUUCCUGGUCCGUUGUGGGGAUCCGGCCCUGUAGGGCUACAGUGUGGAGUCGAUCUUGGACUCCCGGGUACGGCAGGGUGAACCAGUACCUGGUGAACUGGGCGGGUUAAGGCCACAAAGAACGCUGGUGGGUCCGGGUGGUGGACAUCUGUGACCCCUCCCUGACCUCGGAUUUCCAUGCUCGCCAUCCGGAUCGGUCUGCUCCUCGACCUUGGGGUUGCCCGGGGUGCCGGCAGGAGGCGGCGUCCGGAGCUGUGUCUUGGGGUGUAACACCUGGUCCGCGUGGCACAGCCACUCCCCUUCCUCUCCGGGGCUCCGUCUCACCGGUGUACUAACAACCAGCUGGAGAUUGGUGGCAGCUGCUCAUCCCGACGACACACCUGUUCCCAAUGAUCAUUUAGCUGUGUAUAUCUGUGUUGUUUUCUCCCUGCGCCGGACGAAUUAUUGUUUGUCCAUCGCUACCGUGAGGAAUUGUCUGUUUUUUUAUUUAUAAAAGAACAAAUGUUAUAUUGCUGUCUUUUUUGUUUGCCUUUUUUUUGCCUCACUUUACGCACUCGCUACCCACAACCCUUCAUAGCAUCUUCUCACCAAAAC
Molecule: long non-coding RNA, 712 nt
Organism: Esox lucius (northern pike)
Lineage: Eukaryota; Metazoa; Chordata; Actinopteri; Esociformes; Esocidae
Source: Ensembl